CCUACGGGCGGCAGCAGUGGGGAAUAUUGGGCAAUGGGCGCAAGCCUGACCCAGCAACGCCGCGUGAAGGAAGAAGGCUUUCGGGUUGUAAACUUCUUUUAUCAGGGACGAAGCAAGUGACGGUACCUGAUGAAUAAGCUACGGCUAACUACGUGCCCGCAGCCGCGGUAAUACGUAGGUGGCAAGCGUUAUCCGGAUUUACUGGGUGUAAAGGGCGUGUAGGCGGGAAAGCAAGUCAGAUGUGAAAUCCAUGGGCUCAACCUGUGGCCUGCAUUUGAAACUGUUUUUCUUGAGUACUGGGGAGGCAGGCGGAAUUCCUGGUGUAGCGGUGAAAUGCGUAGAUAUUAGGAAGAACACCAGUGGCGAAGGCGGUCUGCUAGACAGCAACUGACGCUGAGGCGCGAAAGCGUGGGGAGCAAACAGGAUUAGAUACCCGAGUAGUC
Molecule: ribosomal RNA, 443 nt
Filed under: uncultured bacterium
Lineage: Bacteria
Description: partial 16S ribosomal RNA
Rfam family: Bacterial small subunit ribosomal RNA
Source: RNAcentral